Molecule: ribosomal RNA, 484 nt
Filed under: uncultured bacterium
Lineage: Bacteria
Description: partial 16S ribosomal RNA
Rfam family: Bacterial small subunit ribosomal RNA
Source: RNAcentral
AUUGAACGCUGGCGGCAUGCUUUACACAUGCAAGUCGAACGGCAGCACGGGCUUCGGCCUGGUGGCGAGUGGCGAACGGGUGAGUAAUAUAUCGGAACGUACCCAGAAGUGGGGGAUAACGUAGCGAAAGUUACGCUAAUACCGCAUACGAUCUAUGGAUGAAAGCAGGGGACCGCAAGGCCUUGUGCUCCUGGAGCGGCCGAUAUCUGAUUAGCUAGUUGGUGAGGUAAAGGCUCACCAAGGCGACGAUCAGUAGCUGGUCUGAGAGGACGACCAGCCACACUGGAGCUGAGACACGGUCCAGACUCCUACGGGAGGCAGCAGUGGGGAAUUUUGGACAAUGGGCGCAAGCCUGAUCCAGCAAUGCCGCGUGAGUGAAGAAGGCCUUCGGGUUGUAAAGCUCUUUUGUCAGGGAAGAAACGGUAGAGGCUAAUAUCCUGUGCUAAUGACGGUACCUGAAGAAUAAGCACCGGCUAACUACGUG